RNAcentral lists this ribosomal RNA (590 nucleotides) under uncultured Burkholderia sp. Its description in RNAcentral is "bacterial SSU rRNA". It matches the Rfam family "Bacterial small subunit ribosomal RNA", at positions 418 to 1003 of the family's 1533-position model. Lineage: Bacteria; Pseudomonadati; Pseudomonadota; Betaproteobacteria; Burkholderiales; Burkholderiaceae. The record is from RNAcentral.
UCGGGUUGUAAAGCACUUUUGUUCGGAAAGAAAUCCUUGGUUCUAAUACAGCCGGGGGAUGACGGUACCGGAAGAAUAAGCACCGGCUAACUACGUGCCAGCAGCGCGGUAAUCGUAGGGUGCGAGCGUUAAUCGGAAUUACUGGGCGUAAAGCGUGCGCAGGCGGUUUGCUAAGACCGAUGUGAAAUCCCCGGGCUCAACCUGGGAACUGCAUUGGUGACUGGCAGGCUAGAGUAUGGCAGAGGGGGGUAGAAUUCCACGUGUAGCAGUGAAAUGCGUAGAGAUGUGGAGGAAUACCGAUGGCGAAGGCAGCCCCCUGGGCCAAUACUGACGCUCAUGCACGAAAGCGUGGGGAGCAAACAGGAUUAGAUACCCUGGUAGUCCACGCCCUAAACGAUGUCAACUAGUUGUUGGGGAUUCAUUUCCUUAGUAACGUAGCUAACGCGUGAAGUUGACCGCCUGGGGAGUACGGUCGCAAGAUUAAAACUCAAAGGAAUUGACGGGGACCCGCACAAGCGGUGGAUGAUGUGGAUUAAUUCGAUGCAGCGCGAAAAACCUUACCUACCCUUGACAUGGUCGGAAUCCUGCUG